Molecule: long non-coding RNA, 271 nt
Filed under: Dromaius novaehollandiae (emu)
Lineage: Eukaryota; Metazoa; Chordata; Aves; Casuariiformes; Dromaiidae
Description: lncRNA (ENSDNVG00000010614.1)
Source: RNAcentral
UCCCACGGCGAUGGUCUUGCAAAUGCCUUGUUGUUUAAUGGUGUAUGAUUUAUUUUUAAUUCUAGGGAUCUCCUGGCUAUCCAGGACCAGUGGGACCAAAAGGAGACAGAGGCGAACCAGGCUAUGUCCUGGGAGGAGUGGAGGUGAUUCCUGGUCGGAACGGGCAACCUGGCCCUCCCGGACAGAAAGGGCAGCCGGGGGUUCCCGGGGUAGCGGGACCACCAGGUUUACCAGGGCCACGAGGACCACCAGGGAUGUCCACCAAGGGUGA